This is a non-coding RNA of Pelobates cultripes (western spadefoot toad), 365 nucleotides long. The record is from the annotation of a GenBank genome assembly. NCBI's taxonomy places the organism in Eukaryota, Metazoa, Chordata, Amphibia, Anura, Pelobatidae.
GGGUGGUACUAAUGUGUAUAUAAGAACAAUAAACCCACAGCUCUGGCUGUUCACUGCUUGACCCUCAACACGGAGCUUUGUCUCGUUCUUGGGGGGAUUUACUGUAUGCUGUUCCAGUUUGACUGCUAGGAAUGUAAACCUAUUCGGAUGGGUUUUCCUAUUCGGCUGUUUACAGCAUUCAUAUGGUUUCCUGUUCGGCGGAUUGGUGUUCUGCAGUAGCUGUGCCUGUGUCUCUAGAAGGGAAGAUCUACUAAACUGCGGUUUAACCCUUUUAUGCCUGGGGAUGCCGUAACAGGGACGAUCGCUUAAACGGUUUUAACCCCUUGUGUGCAAAACGGUCCGUUACACUGGCUACUUAAUCCACC